AUACGGAGGAUGCGAGCGUUAUCCGGAUUUAUUGGGUUUAAAGGGAGCGUAGGCGGGAGCUUAAGUCAGCGGUUAAAUGGUGCGGCUCAACCGUGCCCUGCCGUUGAAACUGGGUUUCUUGAGAGUGCAAGAGGCGGAUGGAAUUCAAGGGGUAGCGGUGCAAUGCUUAGAUAUCAUGAAGAACUCCGAUUGCGAAGGCAGUCCGCUGGGGCACGUCUGACGCUGAUGCUCGAAGGUGCGGGAAUCAAACAGGAUUAGAUACCCUGGUAGUCCGCACGGUAAACGAUGAUUACCCGCUGUCGGCGGCAGACAGUCGGCGGCCAAGCGAAAGCGAUAAGUAAUCCACCUGGGGAGUACGCCGGCAACGGUGAAACUCAAAUGAAUUGGCGGGG
This 392-nucleotide ribosomal RNA is filed under the name uncultured bacterium. RNAcentral describes it as "partial 16S ribosomal RNA". It matches the Rfam family "Bacterial small subunit ribosomal RNA", at positions 523 to 918 of the family's 1533-position model. The record is from RNAcentral.